Molecule: long non-coding RNA, 420 nt
Organism: Amphiprion ocellaris (clown anemonefish)
Lineage: Eukaryota; Metazoa; Chordata; Actinopteri; Pomacentridae
Source: Ensembl
UCACUCAUAGUGAAAGCAAGAAAGCUGGUUUCCCAGAGACUAUGAGUUGAGGAGGAAGUGGAAGUUUGUCGGCUUAGACCUGGUGUCAUUUCAUCAGUGUUAAACUUCCUGGCUCAUCUUUGAAGAGUAUGUGCCAGAAAGACCACAACCAAGCAGCCUUGAGAUCUUAGACAGCAUCUCCCUCAGUUCUGCCGGGCCAGCUCAGCUUCCCUUCAGAAGAAGUUCCACCAGAUGAAGGAGCCUUUUGAGAGGCAGCUGGCAUCGUGAUUGGACUGUACUUUAGUCUGUUCCAAUCCAGCUUCAGCUCCAGAGACGGCAGGCGGGACGAGUCAACGGAGGCCGGGUCCACGAAGGCAUGCAGCUGAGUACAAUCCAGAAAACAACAGAGGAGGAGUGCAGUGGCCCAGGGCCAGAACAACC